AGAGUUUGAUCAUGGCUCAGAGUGAACGCUGGCGGCGUGCUUAACACAUGCAAGUCGUACGAGAAAGCUUCUGCUUGCAGAGGCGAGUAAAGUGGCGCACGGGUGAGUAACACGUGGGUAAUCUACCCUCGAAUUGGGGAUAACAUUGCGAAAGCGAUGCUAAUACCGAAUGACAUCCUUAGACCCUCGGGGAAAAGGAUCAAAGGUGGCCUCUUCAUGAAAGCUACUGUUUGAGGAUGAGCCCGCGUCCCAUUAGCUUGUUGGUGGGGUAAUGGCCUACCAAGGCAGCGAUGGGUAGCUGGUCUGAGAGGACGACCAGCCACACUGGAACUGACACACGGUCCAGACUCCUACGGGAGGCAGCAGUGAGGAAUUUUGCGCAAUGGGGGAAACCCUGACGCAGCAACGCCGCGUGAGUGAUGAAGGCCUUCGGGUCGUAAAGCUCUGUCAAGUGGGAAGAACCCGCAUAUGGCUAAUAUCCAUUUGCGCUGACGGUACCACUGAAGGAAGCACCGGCUAACUCCGUGCCAGCAGCCGCGGUAAUACGGGGGGUGCAAGCGUUACUCGGAAUCAUUGGGCGUAAAGGGCGCGCAGGCGGCUUGGUAGGUCAGAUGUGAAAUCCCGGGGCUCAACCCCGGAAGUGCAUAUGAAACCCCCAAGCUUGAGUAUGGAAGAGGGAAGUGGAAUUCCUGGUGUAGAGGUGAAAUUCGUAGAUAUCAGGAGGAACACCGGUGGCGAAGGCGACUUCCUGGACCAAUACUGAGCUGAGGCGCGAAGGCGUGGGGAGCAAACAGGAUUAGAUACCCUAGUAGUCC
Molecule: ribosomal RNA, 815 nt
Filed under: uncultured bacterium
Lineage: Bacteria
Description: bacterial SSU rRNA
Rfam family: Bacterial small subunit ribosomal RNA
Source: RNAcentral